This 328-nucleotide ribosomal RNA is filed under the name uncultured eukaryote. Its description in RNAcentral is "partial 18S ribosomal RNA". It matches the Rfam family "Eukaryotic small subunit ribosomal RNA", at positions 1470 to 1796 of the family's 1831-position model. The record is from RNAcentral.
CCCUUAGAUGUUCUGGGCCGCACGCGCGCUACACUGACUGGUUCAUCGAGCUUACAACCUUGACUGAUAGGUCUGGGUAAUCUUUUGAAAGCCAGUCGUGCUGGGGAUAGACUGUUGUAAUUUUCAGUCUUCAACGAGGAAUUCCUAGUAAACGCGAGUCAUCAACUCGCAUUGAUUACGUCCCUGCCCUUUGUACACACCGCCCGUCGCUCCUACCGAUUGAGUGGUCCGGUGAGGCUUUGGGAUCUGAGCGGAAAGAGCGUUUCGCUGUUUCUGCUCGGAAAACUCAGUCGAACCUUAUCAUUUAGAGGAAGGAGAAGUCGUAACA